This is a long non-coding RNA of Pimephales promelas (fathead minnow), 708 nucleotides long. RefSeq lists it as uncharacterized. Lineage: Eukaryota; Metazoa; Chordata; Actinopteri; Cypriniformes; Leuciscidae. The record is from RefSeq and is a predicted model, not a curated record.
UGUCACAUGAUCCUUUAGAAAUGAUAUGAAAUGGUGCUACAGAAACAUUAUUUAUUAUCAAUGUUGAAAACAGAUGUGCUGCUUAAUAUAUUUAAAAAGUAAAAUUACACGUAAUUUAUACAUGCUGUAAAAGAUGUAUGUACCACAUAGCGGGUGAACUUACCAGUGGCCAUCUCUCUUUUAACAUUUAACAACUAAAUUAGCAUUAGCAUUAUAUGUUUCGAUUUAAUUCCUCGAAAAUGGCUGCACUUGCUAAACGUCCAUCUAAAUAUGGUACAAUUUAAAAAAAAUAAAUACACAUUGUCCUUAAUAACGGAGGCAUCUACCAUUUUAUAAGCCCACAUACAAAAAUGCACCUAUGAGGAGUAACGUUAGGCUAAAUAAAGGUUAAGCUGAUACCACACGAUGAGAGCUGUACUGGUGGACGGCUUUGGAAAGAAGGCGUCUCAAUUUGAGAAGUCUGGUUGAGCCACAGGAUGGCAUCCCUCUCCAAGUUAAAUAUCCUGAUGGCCAUAUCGUUAGGAGAAGAUUUUACCUCAUACACCCAAUUCAGGAAGAUGAUCUGCAGUUCCUCAGUCUCGAGGAAAGGGAGUGUUUUCUGUUCUUUGAGGAGACCAUCGGCUCCCUGGACUCACGGUGGGGCGUCCGGCCUCACACACACAAACGGCACGACAUCACAGCCCUGUAGAUCAUGACAUCAUUGACCUG